UGGUGAGCCAAUUCGGAUCC
This 20-nucleotide microRNA is filed under the name Marchantia polymorpha subsp. ruderalis. The record is from RNAcentral. Lineage: Eukaryota; Viridiplantae; Streptophyta; Marchantiopsida; Marchantiales; Marchantiaceae.